GAUGAAGAACGUAGUGAAAUGCGAUAAGUAGUGUGAAUUGCAGAAUUCAGUGAAUCAUCGAAUCUUUGAACGCACAUUGCGCCCCUUGGUAUUCCAUGGGGCAUGCCUGUUCGAGGGUCAUUUGUACCUUCAAGCUUUGCUUGGUGUUGGGUGUUUGUCUCGCCUUUGCGUGUAGACUCGCCUUAAAAUAAUUGGCAGCCGGCGUAUUGAUUUCGGAGCGCAGUACAUCUCGCGCUUUGCACUCAUAACGACAGCGUCCAAAAGUACAUUUUACACUCUUGACCUCGGAUCAGGUAGGGAUACCCGCUGAACUUAAGCAUAUCAAUAAGCGGAGGA
This 336-nucleotide unclassified non-coding RNA is filed under the name soil metagenome. RNAcentral describes it as "partial contains 5.8S ribosomal RNA, internal transcribed spacer 2, and large subunit ribosomal RNA". The stretch from base 1 to 120 matches the Rfam family "5.8S ribosomal RNA", at positions 35 to 154 of the family's 154-position model. The record is from RNAcentral.